CUUAUUCAACGCUGAGGUGUGAUGACGAGGCACUACGGUGCUGAAGCAACAAAUGCCCUGCUUCCAGGAAAAGCCUCUAAGCAUCAGGUAACAUCAAAUCGUACCCCAAACCGACACAGGUGGUCAGGUAGAGAAUACCAAGGCGCUUGAGAGAACUCGGGUGAAGGAACUAGGCAAAAUGGUGCCGUAACUUCGGGAGAAGGCACGCUGAUGGUAAGUGAAGCGACUUGCUCGUGGAGCUGAAAUCAGUCGAAGAUACCAGCUGGCUGCAACUGUUUAUUAAAAACACAGCACUGUGCAAACACGAAAGUGGACGUAUACGGUGUGACGCCUGCCCGGUGCCGGAAGGUUAAUUGAUGGGGUUAGCGGCAACGCGAAGCUCUUGAUCGAAGCCCCGGUAAACGGCGGCCGUAACUAUAACGGUCCUAAGGUAGCGAAAUUCCUUGUCGGGUAAGUUCCGACCUGCACGAAUGGCGUAAUGAUGGCCAGGCUGUCUCCACCCGAGACUCAGUGAAAUUGAAAUCGCUGUGAAGAUGCAGUGUACCCGCGGCAAGACGGAAAGACCCCGUGAACCUUUACUAUAGCUUGACACUGAACACUGGUCCUUGAUGUGUAGGAUAGGUGGGAGGCUUUGAAGCGUGGACGCCAGUCUGCGUGGAGCCAACCUUGAAAUACCACCCUUUAAUGGCUGGUGUUCUAACGUGGACCCGUAAUCCGGGUUGCGGACAGUGUCUGGUGGGUAGUUUGACUGGGGCGGUCUCCUCCUAAAGAGUAACGGAGGAGCACGAAGGUUAGCUAAUCCUGGUCGGACAUCAGGAGGUUAGUGCAAUGGCAUAAGCUAGCUUGACUGCGAGAGUGACGGCUCGAGCAGGUGCGAAAGCAGGUCAUAGUGAUCCGGUGGUUCUGUAUGGAAGGGCCAUCGCUCAACGGAUAAAAGGUACUCCGGGGAUAACAGGCUGAUACCGCCCAAGAGUUCAUAUCGACGGCGGUGUUUGGCACCUCGAUGUCGGCUCAUCACAUCCUGGGGCUGAAGUAGGUCCCAAGGGUACGGCUGUUCGCCGUUUAAAGUGGUACGCGAGCUGGGUUUAGAACGUCGUGAGACAGUUCGGUCCCUAUCUGCCGUGGGCGCUGGAGAAUUGAGGGGGGCUGCUCCUAGUACGAGAGGACCGGAGUGGACGCAUCACUGGUGUUCGGGUUGUCAUGCCAAUGGCAUUGCCCGGUAGCUAAAUGCGGAAAAGAUAAGUGCUGAAAGCAUCUAAGCACGAAACUUGCCCCGAGAUGAGUUCUCCCUGACUCCUUGAGAGUCCUGAAGGAACGUUGAAGACGACGACGUUGAUAGGUCGGGUGUGUAAGCGCAGCGAUGCGUUGAGCUAACCGAUACUAAUGAACCGUGAGGCUUAACCUU
This 1405-nucleotide ribosomal RNA is filed under the name Leclercia tamurae. RNAcentral's name for it is "partial 23S ribosomal RNA". It matches the Rfam family "Bacterial large subunit ribosomal RNA", at positions 1545 to 2925 of the family's 2925-position model. Lineage: Bacteria; Pseudomonadati; Pseudomonadota; Gammaproteobacteria; Enterobacterales; Enterobacteriaceae. The record is from RNAcentral.